RNAcentral lists this ribosomal RNA (253 nucleotides) under uncultured bacterium. RNAcentral describes it as "partial 16S ribosomal RNA". It matches the Rfam family "Bacterial small subunit ribosomal RNA", at positions 524 to 776 of the family's 1533-position model. The record is from RNAcentral.
UACAGAGGGUGCAAGCGUUAAUCGGAAUUACUGGGCGUAAAGGGCGCGUAGGCGGUUAUGUAAGUGAGAUGUGAAAUCCCCGGGCUUAACCUGGGAACUGCAUCUUAAACUGCAUAGCUGGAGUACUGUAGAGGAUAGUGGAAUUUCCGGUGUAGCGGUGAAAUGCGUAGAGAUCGGAAGGAACAUCAGUGGCGAAGGCGACUGUCUGGACAGAUACUGACGCUGAGGCGCGAAAGCGUGGGGAGCAAACAGG